Long non-coding RNA from Mus musculus (house mouse), 837 nucleotides. RefSeq annotates it as predicted gene, 54129. NCBI's taxonomy places the organism in Eukaryota, Metazoa, Chordata, Mammalia, Rodentia, Muridae. The record is from RefSeq and is a predicted model, not a curated record. The transcript has 3 exons.
GGCACCAUUCGAUGUCUCGCCUGGUCCAAGCUCGAGAACUGAGCACGGUGUGUGAGAUGCAGCCCUAGCAGGAGGCAGAAGCAAGGUCCAAGGGGCUCAAAGUGUGAUAAAGAUAUCUACUUGAAUGUAUUCAGGGUGGAGAAUGUCCGGGAGCCUGUGGGCACAUCCAAAGAUCAGCAUUAAAGUGUCCCUACAGCUUCCCUCUGUGGGGUCACAAAUCACAUCAGAUGAUGAGGUGCUGGGCAUCGCCAGGCAGCUCCACGUGGCCAGGGGCAGACUGAAAGCUGAACUCAAGUUUAGAUUCACCCCACUCUUGGUUUUGGCCCCAGACAUUUAUCACAUUUUUGCUCGGUGGCUCAUGGAGCGCAACAUUGGUGUCUGAGGAAACCUGGUCUUUGCGUGGGGAAGCCUUAAAACAAAGAACACGCAACUGGGUCCAAGCUUCCAUUCCAUCCAGAACUCCCGCUUCAUCACCAAGUGCUAUGGCUGACCAACAUGUGAGGCUGGUGUGAAGACCAAUAAGCUUCCAUUACAUCCUUACAGAGAGGGGGGAGCAUCUCCCUUGACCAUCCCCACAGGACAAAGUCCUUUCCCUUCAAAGAGUAUUAGAAGGCUUAAGCUUGAGAGCCAGGCUCCCCUCUCUGGGAGUGGAUCGUUGCUGUUUGUCUCAAUACAUCCUCCCUGCCUUCGCUCUCUUUCAGACUUUAGAAAACACUUUAAGGAAGAGUCACUGGUCUUCUGGACGCUGUUCAGUGUGGCAUUGUGGGUGGCAUGUCAUGGUUUCCACAGAGCAAAGACUUUCCUUCCCUCUCUCUCUAGAUUAAUCUCAUCAUUUUA